Molecule: long non-coding RNA, 355 nt
Filed under: Homo sapiens (human)
Lineage: Eukaryota; Metazoa; Chordata; Mammalia; Primates; Hominidae
Description: non-protein coding lnc-ACP5-2:1
Source: RNAcentral
AGACACUUCUACCGAGCACCAAGGACCAAAGCUCUGUGCCAGGCAGCUGGGGACCCAAGGACACUAGGAGGAAUAAAUCAGGGUGGGCGCUGGCCCUCAGGGAGCUUCUGUCUUGCUGAGGAGACAACACCAGCCAGCACUCAGCCAUCUUAAUUAAUUAUUUUAUUUUUUUCUUUACUUUUCUGUUUUUUAGACAGGGUCUCACUCUGUUGCCCAGGCUGUCAGGCUGGAGUACAGUAGUGUGAUCACAGCUCACUGCAACUUCCGUCUCCGGGGCUCAAGCAAUCCUCCCUCCCACCUAAGCCUCCUGAACAGCUGGGACUACAAGCACACACCACCACACCUGGCUAAUUUU